This 292-nucleotide ribosomal RNA is filed under the name uncultured bacterium. RNAcentral describes it as "partial 16S ribosomal RNA". The record is from RNAcentral.
GGACUACUGGGGUAUCUAAUCCUGUUUGCUCCCCACGCUUUCGCACCUCAGCGUCAGUCUCUGUCCAGGUGGUCGCCUUCGCCACCGGUGUUCCUCCCAAUAUCUACGAAUUUCACCUCUACACUGGGAAUUCCACCACCCUCUCCAGGACUCAAGCUCUCCAGUUUCGAAUGCACUUCCACGGUUAGGCCGUGGGAUUUCACACCCGACUUAGUGAGCCGCCUACGCGCGCUUUACGCCCAGUAAUUCCGAACAACGCUUGCACCCUCUGUCUUACCGCGGCUGCUGGCAC